UCUCCGUUGGUGAACCAGCGGAGGGAUCAUUACCGAGUUUACAACUCCCAAACCCCUGUGAACAUACCAUUUGUUGCCUCGGCGGUGCCUGCUUCGGCAGCCCGCCAGAGGACCCAAACCCUUGAUUUUAUACAGUAUCUUCUGAGUAAAUGAUUAAAUAGAUCAAAACUUUCAACAACGGAUCUCUUGGUUCUG
This 195-nucleotide unclassified non-coding RNA is filed under the name plant metagenome. RNAcentral describes it as "partial contains small subunit ribosomal RNA, internal transcribed spacer 1, and 5.8S ribosomal RNA". The record is from RNAcentral.